Molecule: ribosomal RNA, 253 nt
Filed under: uncultured bacterium
Lineage: Bacteria
Description: partial 16S ribosomal RNA
Rfam family: Bacterial small subunit ribosomal RNA
Source: RNAcentral
UACGAAGGGGGCUAGCGUUGCUCGGAAUCACUGGGCGUAAAGGGCGCGUAGGCGGCCGUUCAAGUCGGGGGUGAAAGCCUGUGGCUCAACCACAGAAUGGCCCUCGAUACUGGAUGGCUCGAGACCGGAAGAGGUUGGUGGAACUGCGAGUGUAGAGGUGAAAUUCGUAGAUAUUCGCAAGAACACCAGUGGCGAAGGCGGCUCACUGGCCCGAUACUGACGCUGAGGCGCGAAAGCUAGGGGAGCAAACGGG